UUCAUCACUAUGGCUUAGCGUCUCCAAUAUACACACAUUUUACUUCACCCAUUAGAAGAUACGCAGAUGUCAUUGUUCAUCGGCUUUUGGCUGUGGCUAUUGGGGCUGACUGUACUUAUCCAGAGUUGACAGACAAACACAAGCUUGCAGAUAUAUGUAAAAAUCUAAAUUUCCGGCACAAAAUGGCUCAAUAUGCCCAACGUGCAUCAGUGGCUUUUCAUACCCAGUUAUUCUUCAAAAGCAAAGGAAUAGUAAGUGAAGAAGCCUAUAUUUUAUUUGUAAGAAAGAAUGCCAUUGUGGUAUUAAUUCCAAAGUAUGGUUUAGAAGGGACAGUCUUUUUUGAAGAAAAGGACAAACCAAACCCACAGCUUAUUUAUGAUGAUGAGGUACGAUACCCUCACUUAAAAUAGAAGAUACAGUGUUCCAUGUAUUUGAUAAAGUUAAAGUGAAAAUCAUGUUAGACUCAUCUAAUCUUCAACAUCAGAAGAUCCGAAUGUCCCUGGUAGAACCACAGAUACCAGGAAUAAGCAUUCCUACUGAUACUUCAAACAUGGACCUUAAUGGACCAAAGAAAAAGAAGAUGAAGCUUGGAAAAUAGCUAUAUUCAACAAAAAUCUUCAAAGACUGGUUUCUUUUUUAAAAGAAAAAACUUGAAAGAACACUUCUAAGCCUAAGUGUGUGAUACAGUUUGUUACUUUUAAGUACAUUUUAAUAAUUUCAGACAUCUGCAUUUUUAUUGAACAGUUGACUGUAUCUGACCCAUCAUACUACUAUACUUCUGGGUUGAACAGAAUUAUUUAUGCAGAAUAAUUCAAUUGAAUAUCCAUCACUUAAAUACAGUGACAGGACAGCAACUUCAGGGAUCUGUAAAGAUCAUUUAAAUGGAGUGCUCAUCUCAUUGAGGAGCAGAUUAAUUUUGCGUAAGUACUUUGAUUAUUUAAUAUUUGUAAGAAAAAACUUUCAUUUUCCUACAGAGGAAAAUAGAACAAUUUUAGAAGCAAGGAACAAUCUCUUUUCUAAGUCUUGGAAGCUGUCAGUGUUGAGGAUGUAAUCUCCUUUGCCAUCUUUAAUUCACCUAACUUACACUAGGUGUUCUCUUACUGUCUUUAAAAGCUUCCUGUAUUUUAUUAGUGGUCCUUGAAAAACUGUGAAUGUUUGGGAAUUGGUAGAAAGGCAAAAAGUAGGAUAUUUUGACCUGACUGGAAAGAUGGUUGUGUUUUUAUUGCCAGGUAAUAAGUGUGAUCAUUGUUGAACUUCAGCUCCAGUGUCUCUCCAGAAUAAGACAUUGGCAUUCAAAUGUCUAUAUCUUGUUACUUACAAAAUAAAAAACAGAU
This 1334-nucleotide long non-coding RNA is filed under the name Homo sapiens (human). RNAcentral's name for it is "long non-coding RNA NONHSAT166914.1". Lineage: Eukaryota; Metazoa; Chordata; Mammalia; Primates; Hominidae. The record is from RNAcentral.